RNAcentral lists this ribosomal RNA (253 nucleotides) under uncultured bacterium. RNAcentral's name for it is "partial 16S ribosomal RNA". It matches the Rfam family "Bacterial small subunit ribosomal RNA", at positions 524 to 776 of the family's 1533-position model. The record is from RNAcentral.
UACGUAGGGUCCGAGCGUUAAUCGGAAUUACUGGGCGUAAAGCGUGCGCAGGCGGUUUUGUAAGCCAGAUGUGAAAUCCCCGGGCUCAACCCGGGAACUGCGUCCGAUACUGGAAGGCUUGAAUCCGGGAGAGGGAUGUGGAAUUCCAGGUGUAGCGGUGAAAUGCGUAGAUAUCUGGAGGAACACCGGUGGCGAAGGCGACAUCCUGGACCGGUAUUGACGCUGAGGCGCGAAAGCCAGGGGAGCAAACGGG